UCUGUUACUUAUAUCAACGUCUCCUAACUUUCUGUUGUGUUAUUGCAAAGAAUGAACUUUUGUUAUUAUUUCUUGCAGGGGCCAAUGAACCUGCUGCCUCUGGAGCACCAGGGUGCUGGGCAGACUGCUUGCUGUCACACUGCGGCAGCAGAGGCCGGGUGACUCGUCCCAUCUGUAACCGACGGCUCAGCAGGACGCAGAUGUCAUCAGUGCCACUGGAAGCUGCAGAUGAUUCACGAACCUCUCGUGAUGUUGCUGCACGUGUGCGUGGCUAACUCGAGGUGAGCAAAGAUGUAUUUGCAGGUGAGCAGAAGCAGCAGCACCAGAGGUGGCAGAGGAUGUCUAAGAAGAAGAUGAGGAGAUUUUGGGAAAGCUCUAGUGUCCGAAUCAACCCCUAACAUAGCAGCAAGAUGUCCCUUUGACUCCUGAAGCGAUUUGCAAGAAAACCCUGUGUUCUUGCUUUGUCUGGAUGACGCUCUUCGCUUCUCUGUAAUCUGCACCCUUCUGGCCCAGCUGGACCCGAGUUUUCAGAGAAAGUCAGCACCUCUGGCUGAAAUGUCUCCAACCUGUGAGGUUCGCAUGCGGGUCAAAUCUUUAUAUCAAACCCUUCAAAGGAAACUUUCCUAUUGAUUUAAUGUGUGGGUUUUUUGGUUUGUUUUGUUUUGUUUUGUUUUACCUCCAUUCAGGAGUUUUAUCUCAUUAGUUCUGUGAAUCAAACCGUGCGCCUGAAAUCCUUUCAUUUUCUUUCUGAGAGAAAGAUAUUUUAAAUUCAGAGCAGGAUAAAAAUUAAAGCGUGAACAUAAUCUAGCUGGAUUGUAAGUCUUUUCUAAGAUAUUCAGAGUGAAGUCUGUACAGCUGCACAAUGUCAUUCCCAGUAAAUGAAAUCAAUAUCCUCCUCUUUAGCAGUGUUUACAGACAUGCUGGUCUUCUCUGGUUCUGGCCAGUGAAUUUUGAAAUAGUAUUUGCAUAAAUUUGCCUACUUCUCCCUUUGUUUAUCUGACAAUGCUUUUAAUUAUCCCAAAAUCAGAUUUUUAAAUAUAGCACUUUCUCUCUCUGUGAUUGCUAUGGAAAUUUCACCUGGAAAAUCAAAGCUUUCAGAAUGCGUUUUACUUUCAUCUCAUCCUUUUGAUGAGGUCCUGACACAUCAAAAAUCCACACUCAGAAGCAACCCUCUCUAUUCAAAUGUUUAAAAUGCCAGGAGGUCUUCAUGUUGCAGAAGGUGUGCAACCAGCAGCAUUGCACCACUGCGCUCGCUGGAGCUUGGGAUGAGGACCCAGAUCAUGUCAGAACUUGGGAUGCUUGACUGGAGCGUUGCCUGUCUGCUGACAGAAGCAUGUCAAGUCUUGAUUGAAACUGGACAGAAAAGGUCCUAUAGGAGCUCAAGGUUUUUCCUGUAGAAAAUGUGCUGAGAGGAUUCAGUGCUGGGUUGCCAGCAGGCUGUUACUAACCCUCUAAAGACUUUCUGUAGCUGGAGGCAUUAAAUAGUUAAGUGGCCUUUCCAUCCAACCUCAUGGAAAUUUUUCAUGUGUUUUGAAAAGUUCUCCAGGCCACCACCAGCAACUGAAAUGAUGAGAGAAACCCAACCUAACACUUGCCAUGACAAAAGUGAAAAAUAAUGCCCAUGAGGAAACAGCCCUUCUGGCAGAAUAGGACAUUUAAAUUUGUUUCCUUCCUUCAACUUAAAAUGCAAGAAGCAAGCAGGUGCAAGAAGGCACUUGUUUGAGGUUCAAAGAGCAGUUCAUGUAAAGGAUCAAUAGAUCCAGCACUGUAUUUAGCAUCGUACAAAAUGUUAGACCAGGCAAUUAUUUUGAUUCAUCACUGUGGUAAGUGAAGCAUCCAAGUGUGACAGAAAAUUCUCAUAUUUUCUUGUUUCUUAUGUAACUGAAAUAUUUCAUCUUUAGAGGCGGUUAUGUUGAAGAUUCACAUUCUGCUCUUGACAGGUGUUGCCAAUGGCUUGUUAGUUUAGUGCUAGUUUUACAGUUGUGUGUGGCAUUUUUGUUUUGUUUGUUUUCAUUUUGUAUUCACCUGUUCUCUAAUCCACAAACUACGAGUGCCAGAGGGACUCUUGCAGUAGCACCAGUGUCCUCUGAGCCACCUGGCUGGAGCAUUAGGAAGCAAAUGUCCUCACUGGUAUCACAGGGAAUACUGCUGGCUCCAAAGAGCCACUUGUAGAGUUGGAUUUCUCUUACUUUAACAACCUAGAAGAUAUCAGUCUAAAUUUACUCCAGAUAAGAAAUUAGAUAAUCAACAUACUACCUAUGCUCAGCUACUUUGCUUCAAAAUGCUUUAUAGUUCUGUGUUCAUGAACAGCAGCAGCCAGGUGUCAUAAUGGCUCAAAUAAAACCUGCAAGAAAA
This is a long non-coding RNA of Columba livia (rock pigeon), 2355 nucleotides long. RefSeq lists it as uncharacterized. NCBI's taxonomy places the organism in Eukaryota, Metazoa, Chordata, Aves, Columbiformes, Columbidae. The record is from RefSeq and is a predicted model, not a curated record. The transcript has 2 exons.